GCUGGGCAUGGUGGUGCAUGCCUGUAAUCCCAGGUACUCAGGAGGCUGAGGUGGGAGAAUUGCUUGAACCCGGGAGGCAGAGGUUGCAGUGAGCCGAGAUCAUGCCACUGCACUCCAGCCUGGGCAACAGAGCGAGACUCCAUCUCAA
This 148-nucleotide non-coding RNA is filed under the name Pan troglodytes (chimpanzee). Lineage: Eukaryota; Metazoa; Chordata; Mammalia; Primates; Hominidae. The record is from Rfam by way of RNAcentral.